Long non-coding RNA from Salvia splendens (bonfire salvia), 531 nucleotides. RefSeq lists it as uncharacterized. The transcript has 4 exons. The record is from RefSeq and is a predicted model, not a curated record. NCBI's taxonomy places the organism in Eukaryota, Viridiplantae, Streptophyta, Magnoliopsida, Lamiales, Lamiaceae.
GCACAGAAACUUGUUGCUACAUGGUUCGUGGAAAUGGUUGGUGGAUUCAUUUGCAUCUUUUCUGGAGUUUUAGAUGCAUACACAAAGCUCAGAUACCUUUCAUACGUUAUGGAUAUCUCCACAGCAACAGUAGAUUAUCUUGAUUUGGUGCACGACAUUCUGCUGCCCGUGGUAAUCAAAGACAAAAGUAAGCACACAUUGAGUCACUAAGAGGCCAGUUUUCUGGGAGAAGUUUCUGUUUCUGUUCAAAUUGAGCAGAUACUCACUCUGGUCUUCGAGAAUUUCAAGUAACUUGAUGAAUCAUCGAUGUCGGGUAUUAAAGAUGUAUUCGGACCUGCAACAGGAUUGGCUGCACCUGCACUUGAUCCAGCUUUGUAGCUCUACAAAUGGUUGCAUGCUAUUCUUUCCCCGAGAUUGCUACGAGAAAAAGGUCAAUCAGGCACUUGUUUGAAAUUGAUGAGUUCUUUUCGACUAAUAACGAAAACAUGUUAUUGGAUCCCGUGGCUGUCUCCACAGCAUAUAUAAAGGAAA